GGGAGAAAUAAAAACAAAAGUUGGGGGGGGGGUUUUUUUUUUUCCCCCCCUUUUUUCGGGCCCCCCGGGAGAAAAUACAACCCCAGAAGGGGAAAAAAUUUGUUUGUUUUUUUAUAUCGGGGGAAAAAAGUUUUUUUUUUUAAGAAAAAAAACCUUUUUUUUGCCCCCCGAAGGGGGGGAGGGCCCCCCCCCCCCUGGUUUAAUUUAGGUUUGGGUGGAGUAAAUAAACUUCCCCCCAAGACCAAUUGGUCCAGUUGGUUGUUUUGAGGAGGGGAGUUUUAGCCCACAUUGGGGAUUGGGACCCCGGCCCCAAAAUUCCCCCGGGGGGGCAGGCAGGGGGGAAUUUUGCCCCAAAUGGGGGAAAACCCUGGAUGCAGGGAUGCCCGCGUGAGUGAAAAAAGGCCUUUGGGGUGUAAAGCUCUUUUGUUGGAGAAGAAAAUGACUGUACCCGAAUUAGAAGUCCGGGCUAACUUCGUGCCAGCAGCCGCGGUAAUAGGAAGGGACCUAGCGUAGUUCGGAAUUACUGGGCUUAAAGAGUUCGUAGGUGGUUAAAAUAGUUGGUGGUGAAAUCCCAGAGCUUAACUCUGGAACUGCCAUCAAAACUUUUUAGCUAGAGUAUGAUAGAGGAAAGUAGAAUUUCUAGUGUAGAGGUGAAAUUCGUAGAUAUUAGAAAGAAUACCAAUUGCGAAGGCAGCUUUCUGGAUCAUUACUGACACUGAGGAACGAAAGCAUGGGUAGCGAAGAGGAUUAGAUACCCUCGUAGUCCAUGCUUUCAGCGAUGUGUGCUAGACGUUGGAAAUUUUAUUUUCAGUGUCGCAGCAAAAGCGAUAAGCACACCGCCUGGGGAGUACGACCGCAAGGUUAAAACUCAAAUGAAUUGACGGGGACCCGCACAAGUAGUGGAGCAUGUGGUUUAAUUCGAAGAUACGCGCAGAACCUUACCAACACUUGACAUGUUCGUCGCGACUCUAAGAGAUUAGAGUUUUCGGUUCGGCCGGACGAAACACAGGUGCUGCAUGGCUGUCGUCAGCUCGUGUCGUGAGAUGUUGGGUUAAGUCCCGCAACGAGCGCAACCCUCACUUUUAGUUGCUAACAUUUAGUUGAGCACUCUGAAAGAACUGCCAGUGAUAAACUGGAGGAAGGUGGGGAUGACGUCAAGUCCUCAUGGCCCUUACGUGUUGGGCUACACACGUGCUACAAUGGUAUGUACAACAGGAAGCAAGACGGCAACGUUAAGCAAAUCCUAAAAAGAUACCUCAGUUCGGAUAAGGUCUGCAACUCGAGUACAUGAAGCUGGAAUUACUAGUAAUCGUGGAUCAGCGUGCCCAUCUGUUAUUUGGCCC
Molecule: ribosomal RNA, 1343 nt
Filed under: uncultured bacterium
Lineage: Bacteria
Description: bacterial SSU rRNA
Rfam family: Bacterial small subunit ribosomal RNA
Source: RNAcentral